Callithrix jacchus (white-tufted-ear marmoset) is the source of this 2989-nucleotide non-coding RNA. NCBI's taxonomy places the organism in Eukaryota, Metazoa, Chordata, Mammalia, Primates, Cebidae. The record is from RefSeq and is a predicted model, not a curated record.
CCCUGCCCCAGGCACUACCCAUGUGGCCUUGCCUUUCCCUUGAGAAACUUGGGUCACACUGAGCCCUGGUCUGGCCCUCCCUCAGGAGCUUCAGCCCCAGCGCCCAGGAGAGGGAUAGAGGCCCUUAUGAAAAUAACAUAGAUUCAGACCGGCAAACGCCUUGGGCACAGUGUGAGCCAGAGACAAACAGGACAAUGCAGAUGGCCCAGGGCCACGACCUCUCUGAGUGUCUGUCCCCGCUGCCUCAGGGAAGGACCUGGACCAGGAUUUGGGGAUCUGAGGGACCAGGUCAUCCAGGAACCCACGCCAGACCUAGGACAAGAUCUUCAAUCUGCAAAGUUCACUCUUCUCUCUCCAGCAAAUGAAACUCAUCCAAAUUACCAUCUGUCACACACUCACUGUGUGCUGAAGACCUGACAACACAGGACCCCACGAGAGGACACCACUUCUCCCUUUACCAGGAGCUCCACGGCAAUCAGGGAAGUCAGGCUGAAGUGCAAUGGCACCAUCUUGGCUCACUGCAACCUCCGCCUCCCAGCUUCAAGCGAUUCUCCUGCCUCAGCCUCUCAAGUAACAGGGAUUACAGGCACCCACCACCACACCCGGCUAACCUUUAUAUUUUCAGUAGAGAUGGGGUUUCCCCAUGUUGACCAGGCUGGUCUGAAACUCCUGACCUCAGGUGAUCCACCCACCUGGGCCUCCCAAAGUGCUGGGAUGACAGGCGUGAGCCACUGUGCCUGACCCAAAUCAGAAUUAUUUUUACUCCUUUUCUUGCAAAACACUACUCCCCUUCAUCAAGAGAAACUGUUGCUGUUCCCUUGAGUCGCAUACAUGGAAGGUAUUUCAGAUUUCAGCUAUGUUCCCUUUCUCACAACACGUGGUGUGGAAACUUCCAAGUCAUCAGGGACAUCAUGUUAAUACAUGCUGGGGUGGGUGGGUGGCAGGCACUGAGCUGGUGUGGCCUCUGUGCUUCUUGGGUGACCUAGUGUUUCCUAGCACGUGUUGGGCUGCAGAAGCCGUGUGUGCCAGUGACAUGAGAAACAUGGCCAGGACCAGGAACCAGAGGUGCAUUUCAUUUGUUGGGUGUCUGUGUGGCCAGGGGCAGCAUGGGCUCCCUGUAGGGAUAGUGGGCAGGGCAGGGGGAGCAUUCAUUUCUUGACUCCCAUGAUGGAACCUCUGCAAGACUUACGACCAGUUAUAAAGCUGUGGCAAAAGGAUUUACCACAAAGUGCCUGAUGUGACUUAAUUUUGAAUAGUGCAGGCGUGAGAUGUCAGAAAAGGGAACUCUUGCUCCAUCCAGCAGGCUCUCCAAAUCACAGCUCACACACGCUGACAAAAUCCCAUCCUUCAGCAUGACCUGACACAUCUAUUAAAGUUUCUGCUUUGAUAUGCAUCGUUUAAAGAUGCUAGGCAAUUACAAAUGCAGUUAAAGUUUAUGGCUGGGGGUACGCAGACCCUGUAAAAUGGGCGUGUCAAGUGGGCAGGUUCCCUCUGCCAUGGAACCAUUAGGAACUUCAUCUCUCCUGCAAAUGCUGAAGUGUUUCUGAAAGUCACAGUCUCCACUUGACUGCAGAACUCUUUUUUUUUUUUUAAAGCUAAGUUGACAGCACAUUAGAAAGGAAGACCAUUUAUUUUUCCUGGUUAAUUUGAAAAAUGCUGAUCUUGAUUUUAAUCAUUUGCAAAUGCAGCACAAUUCACUUAUAAUAUCCCUGCCAGCAGGAUCCUUGCCAAAUCCGUAAAGGUGUUGCACUUACAUAAUCAUAGGCAAAUUCCUGGAUUCUCAGGGGCAAAAUGCUUUUUACCCACCUCAGCAUUUAGUAUGCAGCCUUCAUAGUACUAACAACUACACAUUUUGCAUUGUUAAUUUAGCAUUGAUUACAGUUUUAUUGCAAAAAAUUAAAUAACUAAACAAGCCACAGCCUAUCAUGCCAAACAGCUGGGGGGGCCAUCCCCUUCUGAAGGAUGUGACGUUGGCUGAUCAGGCUCCUCCAGUGUGGCAGAGCAGAUGUUUGGGCCCAGCUGGAGCAACCUACCAGGAGGAGCAACCCACUCUCAGGCAAAUUGCCCCUCUCCAGGGGUGAGGUCUGGCUGCUCUUGGCCCAGCAGGUAACACAAUCAGGGCAACCUGCUUCCUGUGGGCAUGGUGGGGCCCUGUCCCCACCAAGCCAGCCCCAAGGCCCUGGGCAACAAGGUGUCCAGAGCCAUCACUUCCACUGCUCACCUGCUGGGGAACUCACUGCCCAUUUUGCCAGAUGUCAACUCUGAAAGUACGUCAGUCCUGGGCAGACUGACCAGUUGGUCACCCAGUUCAAGUCUCUGGCAAAGCAUUGCCCCCAACUACAAGUGGGCAGUGCAGGGAACCAGUUCCCUACUGGGAGAAUAAGCUUGCAAGGACACAAACCCCCACCAAGUAGGGUAACACGCAGAGUCAGGGUUCAGGGUCCACCUAUCAGCCCCCACCUUGCCCCAGUUAGAAGAGCAAUAGAGGAGAGUCGUUUUGCCUCAAGGACUUGGGUCACUUAAGGCUGAGGAUGUCCUCUUUCCUUCACCCAACAGUGUCUGGUUCCCAGUUUAGAUCCUCCCAGGCUCUCUCAAUCUACCAGUUCUCUGCAUUGGUGUGUGGGUGGACGGACACAUGGGAUUCAAAGCUUUAACAUCUUUCUAAGCAUCCUCUACUCCUUGACUCUUGCAUCUUACCUUUCCUGCCAGACCAAAGUCUUCAGGUUGCAAAGCCCUGGGGCCACCCUGAGGCCCUGGGUCCCACUCCCAGGUGGUCCUAAGACACAGAUAGUGGGGUGCUCUGCUUCUCCCACCCCCAUCAAAUACUUCAGACCUGAGAAGCCCAGAGGAUCUGCCACCCAUGCCCUCCAUACAACAUCCAGUGUAAGGUCUGACUUGUGCCAUAAACGGCAUGGUAAUCUCUGUGACCUGAACAACACCCCAGAUGAGUUCCUGGAAGAAGCCAUCAACCCCUGUGGAGCCUAACUAA